Molecule: long non-coding RNA, 1826 nt
Organism: Carassius gibelio (silver crucian carp)
Lineage: Eukaryota; Metazoa; Chordata; Actinopteri; Cypriniformes; Cyprinidae
Exons: 2
Source: RefSeq, a predicted model, not a curated record
UCCCGUGAUCCUGAAGGGUGAGGGGAGCAUCGGAGCGGUCGUACUUCACGCUGGGGUUAACAACACCAUGCUACGGCAGACAUAGACACUGAAGAGGGACUUCAGGAGCCUGAUCAAGACGGUGCACAGCAUAUCGCCUGCAUGAUGAUAAUCGUGUCAGGACCACUUCCCACAUAUAGAUGAGGACAUGAAAGGCUUUUUAGAUCUCCUGUUGGACAACAUCUCCAGGACACUUCACUCCAUAUGACUAGUAAGCCAAUUCUCAAAUAACUGUUAUGAUGACUUUUGUUCUUCACGCUCAAAUAGAAGUUCUUGUGCUGUCCAGUCAAUAAAGAUUGUGUUUGUUCCAGUGUUAAUUUUGACAGGCAUUUUUGAUUUAGCAUUAGUCUAAACUCCACCAAACUACUGCUAUAAGCAUGAGCCCCGUCAGACUGGUCGUGGCGGGGGUGUUGCAACAAUAUAUAGUGAUAUUCUCAAUGUUACCCAGAAAACACGAUACAGGUUUAACUCAUUCAAAAUACUUCAGCUUAAUGUUAGACUGUCAGACAUGCAAAAGAAAUCUAAUGUAUCUCUUGCUCUGGCUACUAGGGGUGUGACGAGACACUUAUCCCACAAGAUGAGACGAGACACGAGACUGGGUUCAUGAGAGCGAGACAAGAUUUUUUUUUUGUUUUUAAGAAAUCCUCAAUGAUAAAAUAAAUAUUUCAUUUUUCUCUACUCCUUUUUCAUAGUACAUACAUUUUCACAUCAGUUUAUUAAACGUAAAAAAAAAAACAUAUUUAGGGCCCUAUGAAAUGUUUAAUUUUUUUCCCCAGCAUAUUAUUUUUUAUUAUUAUUGUUAACAAAUUCUGUAUUUUAGCAUGUCUAACUAUUUGAAUGCAUAACACAACUUAAUUUAUUCAUUUUAUUUUUUCUUAAAGGUAGCCUUACUGAUAUAGAUAUCAUAACCUCAAAGUGUUGUUACUGACCACUUCCUUGUAUCGUGCAUGCUGCAUAUAACUGAUAUUAACUAUAUUUCCAAAACAAGCAUUAUGAAUUUAAGAGCCUAACAUUACAUUUAUAACAAUCAUUGUUAAUGUUUGAAUUGUAUUUCAGGGCAGUUUGUGAAGACAGAUAAUCAAGAGAAGUCAGUUCCAGAUCCACCCUCCACACCAGACCUCUCUCUCUCUCACGAGGAUUGCUGUCUACAAGCAUAUUGUGUUCUCUUCAGACUUCGGGGGAUGCAGAUAUUACUCAGGCACACGAACACUUGAAUAUUGAAAGAAUGGAGAAAGUAAGAAUUACUUAAGAUUUUAGAAUUUAAUGUUAAUUGCUUAUAUAUAUAUAUAUAUAUAUAUAUAUAUAUAUAUAUAUAUAUAUAUAUAUAUAUAUAUAUUUAGAUAUAUUUUUGUGGCAGUGUGAACUGGCCAUAAUGCUGUAUGAUAGGUGUGAGAUUCAUUAAACUUGAUUUGCUAUAAUACAUCUGUUAAUAAGCUAUUACAUAUUAUUUUCAAUGAAUUAUUUGUUAUUUAUUAGCUGACGUAUUAUUGUGGGAGCUUGUGAUUAGUUGAUGAAUGUGUGCAUUGUUAAUGAUAAUAUUUAAAUGCAGUGUGCUGAGUGCUUACUAAGACAUGCAUGUUUGUGCAUAAUGUUUUGACCCUGGAUGCUUACAGAAGGGUAUAGAUAUUUAAAUAUAUGGAAAUGUAUUUAUUAUUAAUAUAUCUCAAUCUAUGUGCUUCUGUAUGGGCUGAAUGCUUUCAUUCAUAUUUCGCUGUAUAUCCUGUUUUUAUUAAUAAUCUGAGUGUAUUACUGUUCAUAUUUGCUUGUUAAUAAAUUAACUGAAUUAA